Molecule: long non-coding RNA, 452 nt
Organism: Spodoptera frugiperda (fall armyworm)
Lineage: Eukaryota; Metazoa; Arthropoda; Insecta; Lepidoptera; Noctuidae
Exons: 2
Source: RefSeq, a predicted model, not a curated record
UGAAAUAUGUCUAAGAGCAGUAUUUCUUGCAUUUGCCACCACCUCUGUAUCAUUUAUCUGCAGCGAAGCAAACGCAGAACACUGUAUUCAAAAUUAUUCAGAAAAAAGCAACCAAGAUGGUAGGACAGAAGUUCGUCUGUUUCACAUUAAUUUUACUGAUCAUUGGUAGCUGCACCUAUGGAUUGCCACCUCCUCCAUCGAGCACAACCAUUGGGCCUCUGAUUGCAGGCAAUCCAAGAGGUAAACGUGCAGCUGAUGCAGUGGCGACCCCUGAAGAAAGGAAUGAAGCUAUCGCAAGGGCUACGGCUACGGCUACGGCAGUAGGAGGAGCUUCACACGGGCCUAUGGAAUAAUUUUCUAGAUAAAGUGUCUUUAUCUACAUAAUAUAAAUGAAGAAAAAUGGCAUCAGCAGAAUCUUUUCUUACAACUAAAUAAAUUCUUAUUCUUCAUUA